RNAcentral lists this ribosomal RNA (483 nucleotides) under Triticum aestivum (bread wheat). RNAcentral's name for it is "partial small subunit ribosomal RNA". The record is from RNAcentral. Lineage: Eukaryota; Viridiplantae; Streptophyta; Magnoliopsida; Poales; Poaceae.
AUGGAUCAGGAGCUGAUCGAGCACGUUGAGGCCAAAGUGAGUGCUGACAGCCCGAGAUCUCACCCUCUCAUCGAUUUGUUCAUACCAACCAUCGACAGCGAGCACGGCAUAUGCUACACCCAACCUGAGAAACUUCCAGGUAUCACAAUGAGUGGCCUAAGGAAGCAUUUCUUCCAGUGCAAUUCCACGGCGUUCAAAAGGGGCACGUGGAUGCGUCGCAAGAUACCGUCGGAGUGCGGCAUGCACGCGAUGUGGCGCAAGACCGGAAAUACCUUGCCGGUGAUGGUCAACGUCCAGCAGACGGGCAGCAAAAAUGUUCUGGUGCUGCACACCAACAACAACUUCGACCAGCAGAGGACCAACUGGGUGAUGCACCAGUACCACCUCGGGGACCUGGAGCAAGAGAAGGAGCGGGAGCUGGUCCUUUGCAAGAUUUUGUAUCAGACGAACACUAGGGCCAGGAGUAAAAAGAUUAUAAGUUAG